GUCAAAUUUUUGGGACUGCUCGGAAAUUUGAAGAACAUGGCAUAUUUCUGGGCAGCUAAGUAUCAUCAUUCUUUUCCCACAAUUUGAAGUCUCUCGAGGCACUAGUUCCUGGAUGCUUCAGUGACUAGUGAUUUUCCCAUAUGCUGGUACAAAUUUUGACCAACAGUCAGCCAAUCCAUAUAUUGCUGUAGCUCAAGAGACCUGAAACAACAAAUUUGAAGCUGAUUUAUCCCUGAAAAAGACUACGUGCUGUAGUACUUGGUAUGCUAACUAAAGAAGAAUAUCUAGCAGUAAGCUAGUCAAACUUUAGCAUAAUUCUGAUGGAAGAUUAUUCUUCUAUGGUGUGGAAGAUUUACCAAUGUUCGUGGAUGAUGGACUACAAAUUCAGGUUACUGCUUUCUGUAGCAGCACAAAUACAGCUGAAACUCUUUUAUCAGAAGAUUUAAAUCACAGAGAACUAUCAUGUAUUACUGUUAUCAGUCUUGUCUGAAACACACUUUUCUAAUGCUUCAUCACAAAGCUCAAGUGCCAAAUCAAAAUUCCCUAAUUCAUAGUUCAUAUCCGCAAAGAUGGAGUAA
This 578-nucleotide long non-coding RNA is filed under the name Nicotiana benthamiana. RNAcentral describes it as "long non-coding RNA (NBEN_LNC002396)". The record is from RNAcentral. Lineage: Eukaryota; Viridiplantae; Streptophyta; Magnoliopsida; Solanales; Solanaceae.